GAAUGGGAAGUUGUGAGGAAAUGCUAGAGGGGCAUGGAUUUCCACCAAAGUUUGUACACUUGGUGAUAGUGUGUUUCCUCUACUAGUUUCUUUGUCAAAUUAAAUGGGAAAGCAUGUGGAUUCUUUGAAGGUAGAAGAGGGUUGAGGCAAGAUGAUUCUAUUUCUCCUCUACUAUUUGUCCUAGUAGUGUUGAAUUUAAAAAUUGUUGGUUGG
RNAcentral lists this long non-coding RNA (213 nucleotides) under Capsicum annuum. Its description in RNAcentral is "long non-coding RNA (CANN_LNC011071)". Lineage: Eukaryota; Viridiplantae; Streptophyta; Magnoliopsida; Solanales; Solanaceae. The record is from RNAcentral.